CUGUGUUUGUGUGUGUGUGUUUGUGUGUGUGUGUGUGUGUGUGAUACACACACACACACACACACACACACACACUAUUUUGG
Molecule: non-coding RNA, 83 nt
Organism: Podarcis lilfordi (Lilford's wall lizard)
Lineage: Eukaryota; Metazoa; Chordata; Lepidosauria; Squamata; Lacertidae
Source: the annotation of a GenBank genome assembly